ACAAACAAUUUAGCCAUUGUUCUGCAGAAGCCAAAGUGUGGGCAAACCACAUCUGACAACACUGUGCUGACCUGCCUGCUAACUACAAUUCUGUGAGUGUGUGCUCAAAGCAUUGAGCUGAAUAUGAUCAUUUAACUAUUGCACAACACAGGGCAUCUGGUCAACCGUUAAUCCCUCCGUCACGUCGGUUAGUGCCAAGACGCUUGAAGCCUGCGAGUGUAGUUUUUAAUAAUCAAAUCAAUAGUUUAGAAUUACUUAGGAAACAAGCAGGGAUUAGACAAUCUAUGACUGAUUAAUCCCCCUUUAGAUGUUUUUAAACUAAAUAGAAAUAUUGCUGUAAACUGAGAAAUUGGUUGCAGGUCAAACAAAACAUGACAUCUGAAGGCACCACCAAUCAUGAUCUAAUUAACUGAGAAAACAUUUUGCACAUUAAUUAAUAGUGAAAGCCUUAUAAUUGAAAGCAAUGUGGGUUGAAUUUGGGUUGGUCAUUGUACUGAUGCUCUUGAAAUAGCAAAUGUAUUCAUUUGUGUCACAAACAUCACAGAACCAAAAGGCCGUGGUGUAAAAUCCGCCUGCUGACCUUCGCCUCCUCUCCUCGCCGCCCUUUUGGAGGCUGCGUACGGUGUCCUGCAGGCCUCGGAUCUUCGCCUUCUUCUCAUUCAGCACCUGCACAAAACGUUGCUGCUGUCCUGGCAAGCCGCACAGCUGUUUUCUCCUCCGCUGGCGAACCUGAACAUGUGUGUCAUCAGCUAGCCAGACCAUAAGGUCAAUCCCAUGGAGAAGGGGGACGUAGGUGUAGUAGGACGCAGCCAAAAGAAAACAGCCCCAGUGAAAACGAUACCAAAACUCACUGUGGGCACCGAGGACACAAAGAUGUCCUUAUCGCGCCGUCCAACACAUCGAACCAAUCAUUUAUUCCCAAGGAUUAGAGGACAAUAACCCAUUUAACCAAUAAACGACUACAAAACGGAGAUAUUGCAGUUCAAACCCACUGUAUUUCAUACUAAUUAAGGUCACUUUCAUUCAGUCCAGCUAUAAUUUCCACAAGGUCAUGCAACAAAGUGUAAUGAUCAAAUGUGCUUGUCUUUCUUUCUCUCAAUCUGAAAAUAACGAUUGUGUCUCAGGGAAGAACAGGGAAGUGUGUGGGUUGACGGCAAAGACGACAAAGAGACAGUGUUCAAGGGUGAGUGCUGGUGCCCACUACGGGAAGACUGGGCAUCCAGUGGACAUGAACUUGUCCCAUCAACUCCCUCAUCUGACGUGCAGGGGCGUGAGGCCAGAUAAGGAGCAGGAAGUGAGGGGCGACAGCGGUCAGUCUGUCCCUGAUAAGGUGAACAUUCUCAUCAACAAGGGUGCAAUACUAUCACAGAUGGAGGAAAAUACUUUCUUGUUUAGAGUAUCAGGUUAUUCAUAACCAUUAUUCAGGUUAUUUUACAUUGUUGAAGUUGCUGGUGGUGGACAGGGGGGGAUUGAGACUUGAUAAUGGGGGAUUGAUU
This is a long non-coding RNA of Solea senegalensis (Senegalese sole), 1496 nucleotides long. RefSeq lists it as uncharacterized. NCBI's taxonomy places the organism in Eukaryota, Metazoa, Chordata, Actinopteri, Pleuronectiformes, Soleidae. The transcript has 3 exons. The record is from RefSeq and is a predicted model, not a curated record.